GACGAACGCUGGCGGCGUGCUUAACACAUGCAAGUCGAACGGAAAGGCCCUGCUUUUUUGGGGUGCUCGAGUGGCGAACGGGUGAGUAACGCGUGAGUAACCUGCCCUGGACUUUGGGAUAACUUCAGGAAACUGGGGCUAGUACCGGAUGGGAGCUCCUGCGGCAUGGUGGGGGUUGGAAAGUUUCGGCGGUUGGGGAUGGACUCGCGGCGUAUCAGCUUGUUGGUGGGGUAGUGGCUUACCAAGGCUUUGACGGGUAGCCGGCCUGAGAGGGUGACCGGCCACAUUGGGACUGAGAUACGGCCCAGACUCCUACGGGAGGCAGCAGUGGGGAAUAUUGCACAAUGGGCGGAAGCCUGAUGCAGCAACGCCGCGUGCGGGAUGACGGCCUUCGGGUUGUAAACCGCUUCCGCCUGUGACGAAGCGUGAGUGACGGUAAUGUGUAAAGAAGCACCGGCUAACUACGUG
Molecule: ribosomal RNA, 468 nt
Filed under: uncultured bacterium
Lineage: Bacteria
Description: partial 16S ribosomal RNA
Rfam family: Bacterial small subunit ribosomal RNA
Source: RNAcentral